GACGAACGCUGGCGGCGUGCUUAACACAUGCCAGUCGAACGGUGAAGCGCCUUCCUUUUUGGUGGGUGUGGAUGAGUGGCGAACAGGUGAGUAACACGUGAGUAACCUGCCCCCUUCUUCUGGAUAACCGCAUGAAAGUGUGGCUAAUACGGGAUAUUCUGGGUCUGUCGCAUGAUGGGUCUGGGAAAGAUAUUGUUUCGGUGGGGGAUGGGCUCGCGGCCUAUCAGCUUGUUGGUGGGGUGAUGGCCUACCAAGGCGGUGACGGGUAGCCGGCCUGAGAGGGUGGACGGUCACACUGGGACUGAGACACGGCCCAGACUCCUACGGGAGGCAGCAGUGGGGAAUAUUGCACAAUGGGCGCAAGCCUGAUGCAGCGACGCCGCGUGAGGGAUGGAGGCCUUCGGGUUGUGAACCUCUUUCGCCAGUGAAGCAGGCCUGCCUCGUUUGUGGGUGGGUUGACGGUAGCUGGAUAAGAAGCGCCGGCUAACUACGUG
Molecule: ribosomal RNA, 494 nt
Filed under: uncultured bacterium
Lineage: Bacteria
Description: partial 16S ribosomal RNA
Rfam family: Bacterial small subunit ribosomal RNA
Source: RNAcentral